CCCUUAGAUGUUCUGGGCCGCACGCGCGCUACACUGAUGCAUUCAACGAGCCUAUCCUUGACCGACAGGUCCGGGUAAUCUUUGAAUCUGCGUCGUGACGGGGAUAGAUUAUUGCAAUUAUUAAUCUUCAACGAGGAAUGCCUAGUAGGCGCAAGUCAUCAGCUUGCGUCGAUUACGUCCCUGCCCUUUGUACACACCGCCCGUCGCUCCUACCGAUUGGGUGUGCUGGUGAAAUGUUCGGAUCGGCCGUUUGUCGCGGUUUCCGCGGCUCGUGGCUGAGAAGUUCAUUAAACCCUCCCACCUAGAGGAAGGAGAAGUCGUAACA
This 325-nucleotide ribosomal RNA is filed under the name uncultured eukaryote. RNAcentral describes it as "partial 18S ribosomal RNA". It matches the Rfam family "Eukaryotic small subunit ribosomal RNA", at positions 1470 to 1796 of the family's 1831-position model. The record is from RNAcentral.